GUGUUGAGGAAGAUAAUGACGGUACUCAACAAGGAAGUGACGGCUAACUACGUGCCAGCAGCCGCGGUAAAACGUAGGUCACAAGCGUUGUCCGGAAUUACUGGGUGUAAAGGGAGCGCAGGCGGGAAGACAAGUUGGAAGUGAAAUCCAUGGGCUCAACCCAUGAACUGCUUUCAAAACUGUUUUUCUUGAGUAGUGCAGAGGUAGGCGGAAUUCCCGGUGUAGCGGUGGAAUGCGUAGAUAUCGGGAGGAACACCAGUGGCGAAGGCGGCCUACUGGGCACCAACUGACGCUGAGGCUCGAAAGUGUGGGUAGCAAACAGGAUUAGAUACCCUGGUAGUCCACACUGUAAACGAUGAUUACUAGGUGUUGGAGGAUUGACCCCUUCAGUGCCGCAGUUAACACAAUAAGUAAUCCACCUGGGGAGUACGACCGCAAGGUUGAAACUCAAAGGAAUUGACGGGGGCCCGCACAAGCAGUGGAGUAUGUGGUUUAAUUCGACGCAACGCGAAGAACCUUACCAAGUCUUGACAUCCUGCGACGGUGCUGGAAACAGUACUUUCCUUCGGGACGCAGAGACAGGUGGUGCAUGGUUGUCGUCAGCUCGUGUCGUGAGAUGUUGGGUUAAGUCCCGCAACGAGCGCAACCCUUAUGGUCAGUUACUACGCAAGAGGACUCUGGCCAGACU
Molecule: ribosomal RNA, 688 nt
Filed under: Faecalibacterium prausnitzii
Lineage: Bacteria; Bacillati; Bacillota; Clostridia; Eubacteriales; Oscillospiraceae
Description: bacterial SSU rRNA
Rfam family: Bacterial small subunit ribosomal RNA
Source: RNAcentral